Molecule: ribosomal RNA, 570 nt
Filed under: uncultured Bacilli bacterium
Lineage: Bacteria; Bacillati; Bacillota; Bacilli
Description: bacterial SSU rRNA
Rfam family: Bacterial small subunit ribosomal RNA
Source: RNAcentral
GACGAACGCUGGCGGCGUGCCUAAUACAUGCAAGUCGAACGCUUCUUUUCCACCGGAGCUUGCUCCACCGGAAAAAGAAGAGUGGCGAACGGGUGAGUAACACGUGGGUAACCUGCCCAUCAGAAGGGGAUAACACUUGGAAACAGGUGCUAAUACCGUAUAACAAUCAAAACCGCAUGGUUUUGAUUUGAAAGGCGCUUUCGGGUGUCGCUGAUGGAUGGACCCGCGGUGCAUUAGCUAGUUGGUGAGGUAACGGCUCACCAAGGCCACGAUGCAUAGCCGACCUGAGAGGGUGAUCGGCCACAUUGGGACUGAGACACGGCCCAAACUCCUACGGGAGGCAGCAGUAGGGAAUCUUCGGCAAUGGACGAAAGUCUGACCGAGCAACGCCGCGUGAGUGAAGAAGGUUUUCGGAUCGUAAAACUCUGUUGUUAGAGAAGAACAAGGACGUUAGUAACUGAACGUCCCCUGACGGUAUCUAACCAGAAAGCCACGGCUAACUACGUGCCAGCAGCCGCGGUAAUACGUAGGUGGCAAGCGUUGUCCGGCAUUAUUGGGCGUAAAGCGAGC